This 490-nucleotide ribosomal RNA is filed under the name uncultured bacterium. Its description in RNAcentral is "partial 16S ribosomal RNA". It matches the Rfam family "Bacterial small subunit ribosomal RNA", at positions 30 to 507 of the family's 1533-position model. The record is from RNAcentral.
AUUGAACGCUGGCGGCAGGCCUAACACAUGCAAGUCGAACGGUAACAGGAAGCAGCUUGCUGCUUUGCUGACGAGUGGCGGCCGGGUGAUUAAUGUCUGUGAAACUGCCAGAUGGAGGGGGAUAACUACUGGAAACGGUAGCUAAUACCGCAUAACGUCGCAAGACCAAAGAGGGGGACCUUAGGGCCUCUUGCCAUCGGGUGUGCCCAGAUGGGAUUAGCUAGUAGGUGGGGUAACGGCUCACCUAGGCGACGAUCCCUAGAUGGUCUGAGAGGAUGACCAGCCACACUGGAACUGAGAAACGGUCCAGACUCCUACGGGAAGCAGCAGUGAGGAAUAUUGCACAAUGGGCGGAAGCCUGAUGCAGCCAUGCCGCGUGUAUGAAGAAGGCCUACGGGUUGUAAAGUAUGUUCGGCGGGGAGGAAGGGAGUAAAGUUAAUACCUUGGCUCAUUGACGUUACCCGCAGAAGAAGCACCGGCUGACUCCGUG